Molecule: unclassified non-coding RNA, 2654 nt
Filed under: Leishmania donovani
Lineage: Eukaryota; Euglenozoa; Kinetoplastea; Trypanosomatida; Trypanosomatidae
Description: gene:LdHU3.15.1810(CDS-product:glutaminyl-tRNA_sy nthetase_putative)
Source: RNAcentral
CAUGCACGACGCCGGGCCAUCCGUUGCACCGCACGUAUCGCUGCUGGAGCACACGCGCCCAUCACCACGUACACAGAGUAACCCCCCCCCCCCUGAGACACUUACGAAAACAACGUUCCGCCUAUUCCGCCCGCGCUUGGCAAAGAUGGCGGGACCGGCAGCUGCAGAAGUGAAAGAAAUGGAGACGAAGCGCGACCUGUCGAUCCUGCAGAACGGCCGUCCCGUCCCGGGGUGCCGGAACACGUGCGAGCUGCUCGAGGCGCACGAGAAGGUCACCGGCGGGAAGCCGUACUUCCGCUUCCCCCCGGAGCCGAAUGGCUUCCUGCACAUUGGCCAUGCCAAGAGCAUGAACCUCAACUUCGGCAGCGCACGUGCGCACGGUGGCAAGUGCUACCUGCGCUACGACGAUACGAACCCUGAGUCGGAGGAUCAGGUCUACAUUGACGCUAUCAUGGAGAUGGUGGACUGGAUGGGGUGGAAACCGGACUGGGUCACCUUCUCCUCCGACUACUUCGACCAGCUGCACACCUUCGCCGUGCAGCUCAUCAAGGAUGGGAAGGCCUACGUCGAUCACAGCACGCCAGACGAGCUGAAGCAGCAGCGGGAGCAGCGCGAGGACAGCCCAUGGCGCAACCGCAGCGUCGAGGAGAAUCUGCUCCUCUUCAAGCACAUGCGCCAGGGCCGCUACGCCGAGGGCGAGGCGACGCUUCGCGUGAAGGCCGAUAUGAAGAGCGACAACCCGAACAUGCGCGACUUCAUUGCGUACCGCGUCAAGUACGUCGAGCACCCGCACAUCAAGGACAAGUGGUGCAUCUACCCAAGCUACGACUUCACCCACUGCCUCAUUGACUCGCUCGAGGACAUCGACUACAGCCUGUGCACGCUGGAGUUCGAGACGCGCCGCGAGAGCUACUUCUGGCUGCUGAACGAGCUCAACCUGUGGCGUCCGUACGUGUGGGAGUUCAGCCGCCUCAACGUGACGGGCUCGCUGCUCUCGAAACGUAAGAUCAACGUGCUGGUGCGCAAGGGCAUUGUCCGCGGGUUUGACGACCCCCGCCUGCUCACCCUUGCUGGCAUGCGUCGCCGCGGGUACACUCCGGCCGCCAUUAACCGCUUCUGCGAGCUGGUUGGUAUCACCCGCUCCAUGAAUGUAAUUCAGAUCAGCAUGCUGGAGAACACCCUGCGCGAGGACCUCGACGAGCGCUGCGAGCGCCGGCUGAUGGUGAUUGACCCAAUCAAGGUGGUGGUGGACAACUGGAAGGGGGAGCGGAUCUUCGAGUGCCCGAACCACCCGCGCAAGCCUGAGCUCGGUAGCCGCGCCUUGACAUUUACGGACACCUUCUACGUCGACCGCAGUGACUUCCACACAGACGACGACAACAACAAGUUCUACGGACUCGCCCCUGGCCCACGCGUGGUGGGCCUCAAGUACUCAGGCAACGUUGUGUGCAAGAGCUUCGAGGUGGACGCCAAGGGACAGCCGAUGGUGAUUCAUGUAGACAUCGACUUCGAGCGUAAAGACAAGCCGAAGACAAAUAUCUCCUGGGUGAGCGCGACGGCAUGUACGCCGGUGGAGGUGCGCUUGUACAACGCGCUUCUCAAGGACGACCGUGCCGCCAUCGAUCCCGAGUUUCUCAAGUUCAUCGACGAGAAGAGCGAGGUGGUGUCGCACGGGUACGCGGAGAAGGGCGUCGAGAACUUCAAGCACUUCGAGUCGGUCCAGGCGGAACGCUUCGGGUACUUUGUCGUCGACCCUGAUACGACGGCCGACCACCUCGUCAUGAACCGAGUGCUGGGCCUGCGCGAGGACAAAAGCAAGGCCACCGUUGCCGAGCCGGUGCCUGCGAAGAGGAAGUAGCAGCAGCGGCACCGACGCAGCAGGAAACACGGGCAGAGGGCGGUCACGCCUCUCUUCUUCGUCAGCUUUUUUUUUCGCGCGCUGUUGUUGCAGAAAGGCGGCGGAGGCAGCUCAGAGGACAGGGAGGAGGGCAGCGCACGCAGUGGCGGUGCUCUGGUCUGCAGCGCUGCACGGCAAUAGCAGGUGUGACACACACACACACACACACACAAUCGGGUGUAUGCAAGGCGGCGGCUCAUCUCCAUCGUACCAGCUGUCCCCCCCCCCCUCACCACCACCUCCCUACCGCCUCUUCCAAGAUAUGUGCCUCUCCUUCUUGUGCUGCGGCUCGCACCGCCAUCAUCGCCAUAUCGCUCUCUCUCCUUCUUGCCUGCGCUCAUCUUUCCGGCUCACCAGCAAGACGAGCGUGACUGCGGUGUGACACGAUUUGACCACGCUCGGCAGGGGAGGAGGAGCUGAAAACUGGAAAGGCAAGCAUCUGCGAUCUAAGUGGGGAGGGGGAACGGUCGUACUGUUCGCAUGUGUGCGUAUGUAUGUGUUGGAUCUUUUCCUUUUCCGUAGCCUGCUGCUAGCAUUGGCCCGUCAACGCCACGCAUGCCACCACGACUGGCCCACCCAUUCUAAUCGCACAUCGCUCAAGCACACAUGCUCAUGCCCUUGACCGGGAACGGAGGAGAUCAAGGCUAACAGAUCAGCGAAGAGAGAUAAGAGACGCAGUCAGUGCCGAUGCGCAAGCGAAGAAGAUGUGCCGGCUAACUCUACGUUGACGUUGUUGUAUGCGACGCUGCGAGCAACC